GGAAAAGGAAGCGCUAUACAUGCAGUCGAACGACUCUGGUAUUGAUUGGUGCUUGCAUCAUGAUUUACAUUUGAGUGAGUGGCGAACUGGUGAGUAACACGUGGGAAACCUGCCCAGAAGCGGGGGAUAACACCUGGAAACAGAUGCUAAUACCGCAUAACAACUUGGACCGCAUGGUCCGAGCUUGAAAGAUGGCUUCGGCUAUCACUUUUGGAUGGUCCCGCGGCGUAUUAGCUAGAUGGUGGGGUAACGGCUCACCAUGGCAAUGAUACGUAGCCGACCUGAGAGGGUAAUCGGCCACAUUGGGACUGAGACACGGCCCAAACUCCUACGGGAGGCAGCAGUAGGGAAUCUUCCACAAUGGACGAAAGUCUGAUGGAGCAACGCCGCGUGAGUGAAGAAGGGUUUCGGCUCGUAAAACUCUGUUGUUAAAGAAGAACAUAUCUGAGAGUAACUGUUCAGGUAUUGACGGUAUUUAACCAGAAAGCCACGGCUAACUACGUGCCAGCAGCCGCGGUAAUACGUAGGUGGCAAGCGUUGUCCGGAUUUAUUGGGCGUAAAGCGAGCGCAGGCGGUUUUUUAAGUCUGAUGUGAAAGCCUUCGGCUCAACCGAAGAAGUGCAUCGGAAACUGGGAAACUUGAGUGCAGAAGAGGACAGUGGAACUCCAUGUGUAGCGGUGAAAUGCGUAGAUAUAUGGAAGAACACCAGUGGCGAAGGCGGCUGUCUGGUCUGUAACUGACGCUGAGGCUCGAAAGUAUGGGUAGCAAACAGGAUUAGAUACCCUGGUAGUCCAUACCGUAAACGAUGAAUGCUAAGUGUUGGAGGGUUUCCGCCCUUCAGUGCUGCAGCUAACGCAUUAAGCAUUCCGCCUGGGGAGUACGGCCGCAAGGCUGAAACUCCAAGGAAUUGACGGGGGCCCGCACAAGCGGGGGAACAGGGGGUUUAAUUCCAAGCUACCCGAAGAACUUAACAA
RNAcentral lists this ribosomal RNA (974 nucleotides) under Lactiplantibacillus plantarum. RNAcentral describes it as "bacterial SSU rRNA". It matches the Rfam family "Bacterial small subunit ribosomal RNA", at positions 38 to 976 of the family's 1533-position model. Lineage: Bacteria; Bacillati; Bacillota; Bacilli; Lactobacillales; Lactobacillaceae. The record is from RNAcentral.